Molecule: ribosomal RNA, 414 nt
Filed under: uncultured archaeon
Lineage: Archaea
Description: partial 16S ribosomal RNA
Rfam family: Archaeal small subunit ribosomal RNA
Source: RNAcentral
GCGCAGCAGUCGCGAAAACUCCGCAAUACGCGAAAGCGUGACGGGGCUACCCCGAGUGUCGUCCGCUGAGGACGACUUUUCCACGCUGUAAGGAGGCGUGGGAAUAAGGAGAGGGCAAGUCUGGUGUCAGCCGCCGCGGUAAUACCAGCUCUUCGAGUGGUAGGGAUGUUUAUUGGGCCUGAAGCAUCCGUAGCCGGCUGGACAAGUCCUCCGUUAAAUCCAGCGAUUCAAUCGUUGGAUUGCGAGGGAUACUGUUCGGCUAGGGGGUGAGAGAGGCCAACGGUAUUCCCGGGGUAGGGGUGAAAUCCUAUAAUCCUAGGGGGACCACCAGUGGCGAAGGCGUUCUGCGAGAACGGGCUCGACGGUGAGGGACGAAAGCCAGGGGCGCAAACGGGAUUAGAUACCCGGGAGUCC